This 96-nucleotide microRNA precursor is filed under the name Nicotiana attenuata. RNAcentral's name for it is "MIR6152 microRNA precursor family". It matches the Rfam family "MIR6152 microRNA precursor family". Lineage: Eukaryota; Viridiplantae; Streptophyta; Magnoliopsida; Solanales; Solanaceae. The record is from Rfam by way of RNAcentral.
UGGAUAGAUUAUUGUAUUCGACUGUAUUCACGGCGUGAAACAGGGGAUUACACUGUUUUUAAACGGAAAGUGAAUCAAUUAACAUAAUAGACUCCU